CACGUAGGGGGCGAGCGUUGUCCGGAAUUACUGGGCGUAAAGAGCGCGUAGGUGGUUAAGUAAGUCAGGUGUGAAAGGCCAGGGCUCAACCCUGGGAUUGCACUUGAAACUGUUUAACUUGAGGGCAGGAGAGGUAAGUGGAAUUCCUGGUGUAGCGGUGAAAUGCGUAGAUAUCAGGAGGAACACCAGUGGCGAAGGCGACUUACUGGCCUGGCUCUGACACUGAGGCGCGAAAGCGUGGGUAGCGAACAGGAUUAGAUACC
Molecule: ribosomal RNA, 263 nt
Filed under: uncultured bacterium
Lineage: Bacteria
Description: partial 16S ribosomal RNA
Rfam family: Bacterial small subunit ribosomal RNA
Source: RNAcentral